AUGAUCGUCACCCUUUGGGCGAUCUGGUCUGCACGGAGGAAGGUAAUACAUGAGGGAAUUUUCCAGACACCUUUGGCAACCCAUUGCUUCAUAUCGAAUUACCUGUCAGAGCUUCAGUUUUUGGAGAAGCCAGAGAAGGAGAAGAAGGCACCGGCUCCUAGAUCGGCAAAGUGGAUCCCUCCUCCAGAAAAUCACUUGAAAAUCAAUGUCGAUGCGGCGGUUGCGAGACAUGGUGGUUUUGGGACAGUAGCGGCCAUUUGUAGAGAUGGCAGCGGGGAGUACCAAGGAGCGUCAGUGAUCCGGUUCAACAACAUUGAUGAUCCGGAGACGUUGGAGACCUUGGCAAUUCGUGAAGCUUUGGCCCUCGCGGAUGACCUGCUCUUCCACAGUAUUUCAGUGGCGUCGGAUUGUAAGGUGGUCGUCGAAGCGAUCAAGAAAGGUACAUGUGCACAAUAUGGGGCCGUGAUACAUGAAAUCAUGGACCGCUCUAGAGUUUUUUCUUCUUGUUUGAUUAAUCAUGAAUUUAGGACCUCGAAUGUUGAGGCUCACAAACUUGCAAAGGAUGUGUUAUCCCUGGGUUUUGGCCGCCAUGUCUGGUAA
RNAcentral lists this ribosomal RNA (600 nucleotides) under Triticum aestivum (bread wheat). RNAcentral describes it as "partial small subunit ribosomal RNA". Lineage: Eukaryota; Viridiplantae; Streptophyta; Magnoliopsida; Poales; Poaceae. The record is from RNAcentral.